Non-coding RNA from Dicentrarchus labrax (European seabass), 1220 nucleotides. Lineage: Eukaryota; Metazoa; Chordata; Actinopteri; Moronidae. The record is from the annotation of a RefSeq genome assembly.
UCCUGAGAGUUGAACACUGGAUGACUGACAGCUGUCCUUCAUGACAACAGAAGACACAGAAAUCCUCCUCAUCAAAAACAUGACUUUGAUCUCCGUCCUCAUCUGGACUCUCCUCUGCUGCUGCUUCACAGAGUCCAGAGGCCAGGUCACAGUGACUCAGCCUGGAGCAGUGAGCUCUGCUCUGGGACGCUCCGUCACAAUCACAUGUAGGACCAGUCAGAAUGUAAAUGGGAACUACCUUUCCUGGUACCAACAGAGAGAUGGAGAAAUUCCUAAACUGCUCAUUUAUACAACUAGCACUCGAGCAUCAGGGAUUCCAGGUCGUUUUACAGGCAGUGGAUCAAACUCUGACUUCACUCUGACCAUCAGUGGAGUCCAGACUGAAGAUGCAGCAGUUUACUACUGUAUGGGUGAAUUCUACGCCAACAGCCAGUAUUCGUUCCCACAGUGAAAAAGCAUCGUACAAAAACCUCCCUCAGUCAGACUGAACAGAAACUGAACUGACUGCUGCAGCUGGAAGCUACUGCAGAGACUGAUACACUUCACUGAGGACACACACACACACACACACACACACAAACACACACACACACUUCACAAUUGCUUAAACAACCAUUUAACAUGUAUCAACACAGUAAAACAUAAUCUUGUUGGAAAUCCAUUUUACUUUCUCUAUCACAGCUUCUCACCAUCCAUUUAUAUCCUAUUAUAGUUAUAUAAUCUUAUAUAUUGUUCAGUUAAUAGAAUGGUGCUAACGUGAGACAGUUAAUGAGCAGAUGAAAAUGUCACAAUAUAAGGGCCUGAUGAAAAGCAGGAAUAGCAACAUAAGAGCAAUCCAGAAGUACACAAUGCAGAGCAUGCAGCUCUUGUGGUGUGUAUACAGUCUGUGUAUCGCUGCUACGUAGCAUAAAACGUUUAUUAAACUUGUACUUAAGUGACAGCAUGACCCUCUGUGUUCCUAAAGAGAUAUUGCAAAUAAGAAGAAGAUAUGAAUACAAACACACACAGAGGUAUAAAUCAGAUUGUACUGACAGAGCUAUCAGAUGUGCUGUGUGCAUAAUCCUUACAUUUCUUUAUUAAAAUGAUCACCUGUAUUAAAUAGUUCAGAUUUGACUCAGGGACAAACACUGUCAGUGUAAAUUCAAUGAUCUACUGUGAUUAUUAAGAUAGGAACACACGUGUCCAGGUCAGCCUCGCUCAAAUGAAAUGAUGUUACCCCA